UCACUGCAAACUAAAGAAUAUUCCAGAUAAAGGAGACAUUGGUUUCUAUAGUUUCUCCUCUGAAUACUAGCAGAUUAUAUCAUCAAUUUCAGAGGGAAUGACUAAAAAUGAAGAACAUAAUAUUUUCAUAAUAAAUACAAUGUGUGGUAAAAACACUACUCAUGGGCAUGGAAAGGAGUAGAUACAGAAAUGGGAGUUUUUAUUGCUUUCGUCAAAUACUUACAGAACAAUAGAAUUCGGAAAAAUUUGUAAAGAGUUCCAAAAUACACAGCCCACUCAGCAAUAAAAGAAGAAGAAGAAGAAGAAGAAGAAAAAAAAAAAAAAAAAAACCUGGGAUAUAAGCAAGACAUCCAGAAUACAGAAGAUGAGAAAACAGACCACGGUUGACCCUGGGAGGAAAGAUAGAACUGCAAUGACUUGUCAAAGAGGAGAGGUAAUCCUGGGACACUUCUAAGGUAAGUCAUUUUUUUUAAGUAUCUAGCAAAUUAUCAAUUAACCUGGUGCCUUCUGUUCUCAAACUAUUCAUACAGAAUAGCAGAAGAGCUGAUCCUUGAAUGCUUCAGAGAAAGAUGUCCUCAGAGUUUUCAGGUCCAUAAAUAAUGGGGUUGAUUAAAAAUAGGUCAUCCAAAUCUAAUUGCUUUCUAUUUUUAAUAUAAAUUCGUUUCAUUGAUUUUUAAAAUGGGCAGUCCAUUAAAACACAUUAAUCAUGACCCUAAAAGUGUACUUGUAUUGCAAAAAGCUUAAGGUGAAGAAUAAAAAGCAAUUUCCCACCACAUGAAGCUGAGGUGGGAACAUCACCAAAGAGAGAUGGAGCCCUACUUUUCCUAGGGAAAAAAAAAAAAAACAUUUCUGGGCAAAAGCUGGGAGGUGAGGUAUCAUUAUGAUAAAACAUUGUCCAGCUGUUUGACAGCAGUUUUAGAAUGCUUGGUGCCUUGCAUGUCUAGUUUGGAUAAGUGGUCCCUGAUUUUGUAGAGCCAAGGUAAAAACAUAGGAUUGAAACUGCUGUAUUUUCCUUUACGUGCGCACUCAUAAUUGCAGAAGACUUGUUUGUUCUAGAAAAUGCAGCUAAGGAAAACUAAUACUAAAAAUAAUCCAUAAUAUCAUCAUCCGGAAAUAACAGUAGAAACAUUUUGAUACAUAUCUAGUCAAAUUUUUUAAACAUACAAUGUAUAUUUUAAUUGCAGACCUAUAAUAGGCCUAUAACCUUUUAUACUAAAAAUGUCACAUACAUUUCAGAUGCCAACAUAUAGUUUCUCAAAAUUGUUGUGAAUGGAGCACGC
RNAcentral lists this long non-coding RNA (1280 nucleotides) under Canis lupus familiaris (dog). Its description in RNAcentral is "lncRNA (ENSCAFG00000056595.1)". Lineage: Eukaryota; Metazoa; Chordata; Mammalia; Carnivora; Canidae. The record is from RNAcentral.